GAUGAACGCUGGCGGCGUGCCUAAUACAUGCAAGUCGAGCGAACAGACGAGGAGCUUGCUCCUCUGACGUUAGCGGCGGACGGGUGAGUAACACGUGGAUAACCUACCUAUAAGGCUGGGAUAACUUCGGGAAACCGGAGCUAAUACCGGAUAAUAUAUUGAACCGCAUGGUUCAAUAGUGAAAGACGGUUUUGCUGUCACUUAUAGAUGGAUCCGCGCCGCAUUAGCUAGUUGGUAAGGUAACGGCUUACCAAGGCAACGAUGCGUAGCCGACCUGAGGGGGUGAUCGGCCACACUGGAACUGAGACAUGGUCCAGACUCCUACGGGAGGCAGCAGUAGGGAAUCUUCCGCAAUGGGCGAAAGCCUGACGGAGCAACGCCGCGUGAGUGAUGAAGGUCUUCGGAUCGUAAAACUCUGUUAUUAGGGAAGAACAAAUGUGUAAGUAACUAUGCACGUCUUGACGGUACCUAAUCAGAAAGCCACGGCUAACUACGUG
This 497-nucleotide ribosomal RNA is filed under the name uncultured bacterium. RNAcentral describes it as "partial 16S ribosomal RNA". It matches the Rfam family "Bacterial small subunit ribosomal RNA", at positions 28 to 507 of the family's 1533-position model. The record is from RNAcentral.